ACUCCUACGGGAGGCAGCAGUGGGGAAUAUUGCACAAUGGGGGAAACCCUGAUGCAGCCAUGCCGCGUGUGUGAAGAAGGCCUUCGGGUUGUAAAGCACUUUCAGUAGGGAGGAAGGUAGUGUAGUUAACACCUGCAUUAUUUGACGUUACCUACAGAAGAAGCACCGGCUAACUCCGUGCCAGCAGCCGCGGUAAGUACGGAGGGUGCGAGCGUUAAUCGGAAUUACUGGGCGUAAAGCGCAUGCAGGCGGCCUGUUAAGUCAGAUGUGAAAGCCCGGGGCUUAACCUCGGAAUUGCAUUUGAAACUGGCAGGCUAGAGUCUUGUAGAGGGGUUAGAAUUUCAGGUGUAGCGGUGAAAUGCGUAGAGAUCUGAAGGAAUACCAGUGGCGAAGGCGGCCCCUGGACAAAGACUGACGCUCAGAUGCGAAAGCGUGGGAGCAAACGAGGAUUAGAUACCCCUGGUAGCGACUGA
Molecule: ribosomal RNA, 473 nt
Filed under: uncultured bacterium
Lineage: Bacteria
Description: bacterial SSU rRNA
Rfam family: Bacterial small subunit ribosomal RNA
Source: RNAcentral